Molecule: ribosomal RNA, 431 nt
Filed under: uncultured bacterium
Lineage: Bacteria
Description: partial 16S ribosomal RNA
Rfam family: Bacterial small subunit ribosomal RNA
Source: RNAcentral
AACGAACGCUGGCGGCAGGCUUAACACAUGCAAGUCGAACGCCCCGCAAGGGGAGUGGCAGACGGGUGAGUAACGCGUGGGAACAUACCCUUUUCUACGGAAUAGCUCUGGGAAACUGGAAUUAAUACCGUAUACGCCCUACGGGGGAAAGAUUUAUCGGGGAAGGAGUGGCCCGCGUUGGAUUAGCUAGUUGGUGGGGUAAAGGCCUACCAAGGCGACGAUCCAUAGCUGGUCUGAGAGGAUGAUCAGCCACAUUGGGACUGAGACACGGCCCAAACUCCUACGGGAGGCAGCAGUGGGGAAUAUUGGACAAUGGGCGCAAGCCUGAUCCAGCCAUGCCGCGUGAGUGAUGAAGGCCUUAGGGUUGUAAAGCUCUUUCACCGAUGAAGAUAAUGACGGUAGUCGGAGAAGAAGCCCCGGCUAACUUCGUG